GGACAGAAGGGAGCUUGCUCCCUGAUGUUAGCGGCGGACGGGUGAGUAACACGUGGGUAACCUGCCUGUAAGACUGGGAUAACUCCGGGAAACCGGAGCUAAUACCGGAUAGUUCCUUGAACCGCAUGGUUCAAGGAUGAAAGACGGUUUCGGCUGUCACUUACAGAUGGACCCGCGGCGCAUUAGCUAGUUGGUGGGGUAAUGGCUCACCAAGGCGACGAUGCGUAGCCGACCUGAGAGGGUGAUCGGCCACACUGGGACUGAGACACGGCCCAGACUCCUACGGGAGGCAGCAGUAGGGAAUCUUCCGCAAUGGACGAAAGUCUGACGGAGCAACGCCGCGUGAGUGAUGAAGGUUUUCGGAUCGUAAAGCUCUGUUGUUAGGGAAGAACAAGUGCGAGAGUAACUGCUCGCACCUUGACGGUACCUAACCAGAAAGCCACGGCUAAC
This 450-nucleotide ribosomal RNA is filed under the name Bacillus pumilus. RNAcentral's name for it is "bacterial SSU rRNA". It matches the Rfam family "Bacterial small subunit ribosomal RNA", at positions 66 to 501 of the family's 1533-position model. The record is from RNAcentral. Lineage: Bacteria; Bacillati; Bacillota; Bacilli; Caryophanales; Bacillaceae.